GGGUUCAAGUCCCCUCUAUCCCC
RNAcentral lists this transfer RNA (23 nucleotides) under Glycine max (soybean). Its description in RNAcentral is "partial tRNA-Leu". The record is from RNAcentral. Lineage: Eukaryota; Viridiplantae; Streptophyta; Magnoliopsida; Fabales; Fabaceae.